UCUGGUUCUCUGUAGAGAGAACAACAAAACAGAUAUCCAAAUAUGUAGGAAAAACAAUUUUAAUAAUUUAGUUCAAGUCGAUUUAAAUUCUUUGCUUGGUUUUAGCUUCAUUUGGUUUUUCGUGUAAGUUGUCUCCCCUACUACAAAAUUCCUCCUCUCUUAAUGCAUUCUCCUUCAGUCGAGCCGGCUCUAAGAAUAUCUAGAGCAGUCGAAGGACAGAUCUGUUAUAGUAGUUGUAAAUACUGGAGAUAUCUCCAGCCUUAACCUUUCUACCUUCAAAUAUCAGACUAAAUAGUUCAAGGAAACUCCCCAAAUUCAGGUGUUCAAUGUACGAUGUCAACUGGAUAGCGUGCUGCAAGACUGCUUCUUUCUUUGAAUACUAUAAUAAGUUUUAUCAACUGUUUAAUUAGAUCGCAUCAACUAGUAAAAAUCCCAGCAGGAACUUAAAAACUAA
This is a long non-coding RNA of Drosophila montana, 454 nucleotides long. RefSeq lists it as uncharacterized. The record is from RefSeq and is a predicted model, not a curated record. NCBI's taxonomy places the organism in Eukaryota, Metazoa, Arthropoda, Insecta, Diptera, Drosophilidae. The transcript is spliced from 2 exons.